AACCUGCCUCAUACUGGGGGAUAGCCCGGCGAAAGCUGGGGUAAACCCGCACGGUCCCAUGGAGUCACCUGGCAUUAUGGGUAAACAUUUAUGGGUAUGAGAGGGGCUUGCGUCUGAUUAGUUAGUUGGCAGGGUAACGGCCUACCAAGACGAUGAUCAGUAGGGGUUCUGAGAGGAUUGGCCCCCACAUGGGUACUGAGAUACGGACCCAACUCCCACGGGAGGCAGCAGUAGGGAAUAUUGGGCAAUGGACGCAAGUCUGACCCAGCCAUGCCGCGUGCAG
RNAcentral lists this ribosomal RNA (283 nucleotides) under uncultured bacterium. RNAcentral describes it as "partial 16S ribosomal RNA". It matches the Rfam family "Bacterial small subunit ribosomal RNA", at positions 123 to 406 of the family's 1533-position model. The record is from RNAcentral.